CCCGCAAAAACCGACGAGUCGGAACCGAAAAAAAGUUCAGAGCCGUGAACUUUUUUUCGAUUUCUGCGGGAUAUCGUUCCACGCGACAUUUUAUGGCGCACAGCGGCAUUCUUUUGUUUUGUUUACUUCUGCCUUUUUUGAAGUGACAGAAGGUUGAGUAGGUGUCAGUUUUCAUCCGAUUUGUGUAGAUUAUAGUCGUAUUUUCUGUGUUAAGUUGUUCUGGAUAUUCACCUACCUACGCAUCAGUAUGGAACGUGCAAUGAGAGAUGAAGAUGGAGAAAUGAGUGGAGAAAUGGACUUCAACGAAUCAAUAAUUGAAGCAGUCAGGAAGUACCCAGGUUUGUGGGACAAAAAGUCGAAGGACUAUGCAAAGAAAAAGACUGUAAAAGAUCUUGAUUGGCAAAGAGUGGCAGCUGAGUGCAGAUGUGAUGUGCAAGCUGCCAAAGAGAGGUGGAAGUCUUUGCGGGACUACUAUCUGGCCAGAAAAAGGAAGACUCUGCCCAGUGGAUCAGCAGCACCUGCAGGUGGCCAUCAGCACCUAGGACCCUAUGGGAAUAUGCUCAGAUUUCUGGACCCCAGCACCCAGCGUGGGCCAUCCUUGAUGAAUACGAGGACUGAAGGACACCCAUAAGUCACUGAGACUGCGACGUGUUUGUAUGUGUGGCUGUGGUUGAUUUUUUUUUUUGUUUAACUAACUGG
This 699-nucleotide unclassified non-coding RNA is filed under the name Amphibalanus amphitrite. RNAcentral's name for it is "macro domain-containing protein CT2219-like, transcript variant X3". Lineage: Eukaryota; Metazoa; Arthropoda; Thecostraca; Balanomorpha; Balanidae. The record is from RNAcentral.